UGUAAAGUUCAAGCCCCGAUUAUGAGGGCGAAACCGCGAAUGGCUCAUUAAAUCAGUCAUAAUCUACUUGAUUGUUUAAAGUUUAUAUGGAUAACUGUGGUAAUUCUAGAGCUAAUACAUGCACAAAGAGGGUGACUCUCGCAAGGGAGAAGCUCUGCGUUUAUUAGACUAAGACCAAUGACUCCUUCGGGCAGUCUACAUUAAGGUGACUCUGAGUAAAUAAUGGGUGCAAACCCAUGAUGCCGACCUGACAUACCAAAAAGGCCUAAAGCCUUGUCAGGCAAAUCAAUCGAGUGUCUGCUCUAUCAACUGUGGAUGGUAGGAUAAUUGCCUACCAUGGUGGUGACGGGUAACGGGGAGUUAGGGCUCGACUCCGGAGAACAAGCCUGAGAAACGGCUAGUAGGACUAAGGUCUGCAGCAGGCGCGAAACUUACACAAUGCUAGAUUACAAUUAGCGAUGUAGUGAAGAAAAAUAACGAUGUACUUCCAUUUAAACAUGGUAGUACAAUUGGAAUGAGACGACUAUAAAUGAGUUAGUCGAGUAACAAAUGGAGGGCAAGUCUGGUGCCAGCAGCCGCGGUAAUUCCAGCUCCAUUAGCAUACAUUAAAGUUGUUGCGGUUAAAAAGCUCGUAGUUGAAUUUUAGGCGGGCUCUAUUGGGUCCCAACCGUUACGGCGCAGCGCAACAUGGUUCGCCCAGUCGCCUGUUGCUGGUUGGCGGCUCCAUUAGGAACCCGCUGUUUCGUCACUUAAUCGAGUGCGAAGCGGGCUGGCACGGUACCAACUCCGGUUGGGUCAUCGUUUCAGCAUGUUUACCUUGAGAAAAUUAGAGUGCUCACAGCAGGCAGUUGGGGUGUAAAAGCUCCUUUAUGCUUGAAUAAUGUUGCAUGGAAUAAUAGAAUACGGCCUCGGUUCUAUUCUGUUGGUCUUAUAGAACAACAAACAAGUUGGUUAAAGCGACCAAAAAGUUCGCUUGCGAGUGUGGCUCGGCCGGUUAUGUUGCCUGGGAGGUAAAAGUUUCAGCGCCUUGCCGGUCGCGCCAUCAAAAGCACUCCUUGCGGGCUAGCUUUCUAAUCAACUGAGGCAAUGGUUAAAAGAAAUAGUCGCGGCGGCAUCAGUACUGCAUCGUGAGAGGUGAAAUUCUUAGACCGAUGCAAGACUAACUGAAGCGAAAGCGUUUGCCGAGGAUAUUUUCAUUAAUCAAGAACGAAAGUUAGAGGUUCGAAGGCGAUCAGAUACCGCCCUAGUUCUAACCAUAAACGUUGCCAACUAGCAAUUGGGUUGCGAUUCCUUUAAUCGACGUGUGUAAAAGCCGUCGAUCAUUAUGAUCCACCCAGCGGCUCUCGUAGGGAAACCAAAGUGUUUGGGUUCCGGGGGAAGUAUGAUUGCAAAGUUGAAACUUAAAGGAAUUGACGGAAGGGCACCACCAGGAGUGGAGCCUGCGGCUUAAUUUGACUCAACACGGGGAAACUUACUAGAUUAGAACUCUGGAAUGAUUGACAGAUUGAUAGCUCUUUCUUGAUUCAGAGGAUGGUGGUGCAUGGCCGUUCUUGAUUCGUAUUCCGAAACGUCUGCUUAAUUGCGAUAACGAGUGAGACCUCACCCAACUAACUAGUCGUUAGGUGCGCUGUGGAACACAAAAAGUCCAGUGCGGGUUCUGCGUGCAUGCAAAGGGGCAACCCGGAGUGUGUGCGUUCCGUGUUGGAUGUUCUCUGCUCGCCUGCGGACUUCUUAGAGGGAUAAACGGUGUUUUAGCCGUAAGAAACGAG
This 1769-nucleotide ribosomal RNA is filed under the name Shevtchenkella acer. Its description in RNAcentral is "bacterial SSU rRNA". It matches the Rfam family "Eukaryotic small subunit ribosomal RNA", at positions 56 to 1449 of the family's 1831-position model. The record is from RNAcentral. Lineage: Eukaryota; Metazoa; Arthropoda; Arachnida; Trombidiformes; Eriophyidae.